CCCUUAGAUGUUCUGGGCCGCACACGCGCUACACUGAAGGAGGCAGCGUGUACUCCUGGAUCGAAAGAUUUGGGUAACCCGCGAAUCUCCUUCGUGCUAGGGAUUGAGGUUUGCAAUUAUCCUUCAUGAACGAGGAAUUCCCAGUAAAUGCAAGUCAUAAGCUUGCGCUGACUACGUCCCUGCCCUUUGUACACACCGCCCGUCGCUACUACCGAUUGAAUGAUUUAGUGAGGACUUCGGACUGGGACCGAUGCGGCUUUCGGGCUGCGUCGGUAUUCUGGAAAGAUGUCCAAACUGUAUCAUUUAGAGGAAGUAAAAGUCGUAACA
RNAcentral lists this ribosomal RNA (327 nucleotides) under uncultured eukaryote. Its description in RNAcentral is "partial 18S ribosomal RNA". It matches the Rfam family "Eukaryotic small subunit ribosomal RNA", at positions 1470 to 1796 of the family's 1831-position model. The record is from RNAcentral.